This is a non-coding RNA of Acidithiobacillus caldus SM-1, 140 nucleotides long. NCBI's taxonomy places the organism in Bacteria, Pseudomonadati, Pseudomonadota, Acidithiobacillia, Acidithiobacillales, Acidithiobacillaceae. The record is from Rfam.
CGUCGGUAGCCAAUCCGAUCCGGCUAACUCUCGCUCCAGCCGGAAGCACUUGGGGCGGUCCAGGAGGCAACAAAUGGGCUGAAGCACUUCAAGAAAAGGCCUCUAUAGUGAGGUCAGCGGACCCUGCGUGCGUAUUCCGC